AACGAACGCUGGCGGCAUGCCUAACACAUGCAAGUCGAACGAGACCUUCGGGUCUAGUGGCGCACGGGUGCGUAACACGUGGGAAUCUGCCCUUUGCUUCGGAAUAACAGUUAGAAAUGACUGCUAAUACCGGAUGAUGUCGAACGACCAAAGAUUUAUCGGCAAAGGAUGAGCCCGCGUAGGAUUAGGUAGUUGGUGGGGUAAAGGCCUACCAAGCCGACGAUCCUUAGCUGGUCUGAGAGGAUGAUCAGCCACACUGGGACUGAGACACGGCCCAGACUCCUACGGGAGGCAGCAGUGGGGAAUAUUGGACAAGGGGCGAAAGCCUGAUCCAGCAAUGCCGGGUGAGUGAUGAAGGCCUUAGGGUUGUAAAGCUCUUUUACCAGGGAUGAUAAUGACAGUACCUGGAGAAUAAGCGCCGGCUAACUCCGUG
Molecule: ribosomal RNA, 433 nt
Filed under: uncultured bacterium
Lineage: Bacteria
Description: partial 16S ribosomal RNA
Rfam family: Bacterial small subunit ribosomal RNA
Source: RNAcentral